Oryctolagus cuniculus (rabbit) is the source of this 2677-nucleotide long non-coding RNA. RefSeq lists it as uncharacterized. The record is from RefSeq and is a predicted model, not a curated record. NCBI's taxonomy places the organism in Eukaryota, Metazoa, Chordata, Mammalia, Lagomorpha, Leporidae.
AAUAGCAUCCUGCUACCUUACAAUUGGCCGUCGGCAACAUCUUUGCCGCUUGAUUGGACAGCCUGGAUGUCCAUUAGGGCCACGCUGCCCGGCAACAGAGGCAAAGCGAAGGGGAAGACGCCCUUUCUCCUGAGAACGGGCGGGACCAGCUGGGGUACUGGGGACGACUGGGAAGACGCUGGGCGGGGCUUCGCCCGGCGCCUGGGACUCUGGGAUAGGGUCACUUCCAGAUGAAGGUUCUGCUUCCGGUGUCGGCCGUAGUGGGUUGCCAUGACAGUGCGGCGGGCCGGCGCGUGGCGCGGGUAUCCGGGAAGGUAGAGGAGUAGCGCCGGCCGGCAUCUUCCUCGCUCCCGCAUAAAUGCCCGCCCUCGCGAGCGGCCGAAGGGCGGCGGCCGAGGACCUGGGCCAGCCCGGGCCGGAGACUCGGGCCCCGCCGCCCAGCGGGAGCUGAGGCCCGGGCGGCCGGCGUGCGGUGGCUACUGGAACAGCAAGGCCGUCUCGCCGGGGCGCCCUGGCCUUGCAGCCCGCUUGAGCGCUUGGGUCCCGGCUCGGGCGGCGUUUGCCGAGAAGAUUCGGGGAUUGCAGGCGUGGUCUACACACGUGAUGCAGAACUUGGCACUCCGCGGUUAGGGCAGAAGCCUGGCGUCCGGUGUGCCUCGCAGGAGGACCCACGAGUCCCUGCCGGAGUCUCUGAUUCGUGCUGAGGUCGCAGCGAGUGGCUCUUGCUUGUCUAAUGAAUGCUGGCAGUUUCCCCUGAAAGCCUGGCUCGGUUCUUGCCGACCGUGGGUCAGGCCGCUCUCCCAGCCUGGGCAUGGGAGAAGGGUUUGCACGGGGGCGUUCUGAGGACCCAGGCCUAGGCCGGCGGGGAUGGAGAGUGGCGCGUCCUGCCGUCUUCCCUGGUCGUCAGAUGUUUGUGCUGCUGGGAACCCAGCUGUCGUUGGAGAUGAGGGCUGAGAGGAAACCUGUGUUUUCAGAAUUGAAAGGAGGCGCAGCGUUUGGGAGGCUGUGCUGCUGUGAUAGGGGGGCAAAUGGAGGGGAGCCCAGGCGCUGCGCCCCGCCUUGCCGACGGGGGUGGAGCCAGCAGGCUCAGCGAGAUGUUGGUGUGUGUCUGACACCACUCUCGCAGGACGCGGCAGCCAUCAGAGUCUUAGAGAGGGAGGCCGCUGUGUGCUUCAGCUCUCGGGGUCCCUGGGUCCUGCCGCCCACUGCACUUCUAAUCCACUUCCCUGCCGCCGCACGCCCCAGGGGACAACCGGUGAUGGCCAGACCCUUGAGGGCCUGCCGCCCGCGUGGGAGGCCUCGGUGGAGUUCCGAGCUCUGGGCUUCCGCCGGCCAAGCCCUGGCUAUGGCAGGCGUUUAGGGAGGGAACCAGCUGAUGGGAGGUCUGCCUCAGCCUUUCAGAGUAAAAAGGAACAAACCUCGGAAAUGUGAUGGCCUCUUCCUCUAUCUCAGUCCCAAGUGACGUGAGCUGGAGUCGGGGAUUUUUUUUUUUUAAGGGAUGUAUUUAUUUGAAAUGCAGAGAGCAGAGAGGGAGCUGCGGAUCUCCCUUCCCUGGUUCACUCCCCAAAUGCCUGCAACAGCCGGGAGCCCAGGUACAGGGCCUCCUGCCUCCCGCGUGCGUUAGCAGGAAGCUGGGUGGGAAGUGCAGAGUUGCUGGGCGUCCCAAGCGGCAGCUUAGCCCGGGCACGCGGCGCCCACCCAGGGUGCGUGGCCAGUGCCGAGUCCUUGUGUGCUCAGCAAUGACCGUUUGUAGAAGAUGGGGGGGCUGUCACAGUGUGUGCCACGGAAGGGCCUGGCUUUGUAAAAGCGUCAUUUUAAGAGAAAAUUGGCAGCCUGGGCUGCACUUGGGGUGGAGCCGCCAGACAUCGCUGAGCUAAGAUAGCAUCUGGGACCCAGAAUUCCACUGAGCAGGGUUGGAACCCAGAACCUUUCUCUGAUGCGCUUAGCUGUUACCAGUAAUUCUGGAGCGUCUGUGCUAGGCUGGCAUCAACGUGCCAGCACCAGGGAGGAGCCAGGCAGAGCCCUGUCUGGGUGGAGCCUCUCGCCGGGACUCCUCUGUCCGUGGGAGUGGCCCACAUCAUGACCGCUCGGCCUAGGCUCCUGUUCUCCGUGGCUCUCAGGGUGCCAGGGGAUGCAGAGAAGUGGGGAGCUAGAGGUGCGAGUGGCUCAGUCUGGAAUACAUGGGAUGGGGUGAGUAUCAGCACCUGGGUGUCACGGAAGGUGACCGGGCCCCAGCGGCGGCCCUCACCACCACCAGCUGUUCAGGAACUCUUUGCUGCCCAGGUUUCUGGCCUUUCCUGUUUUCCACUUCCUGGUCGCCACAUUUUCAGAAAUCUGUACUGGUAGUAAGAUGGUGGUGUCUUAUCUGGGCACCAUCUCGAGCCCCGGGUGCCACCUUGGGCUCUGGCCCAGCCGCCACCUUGCGCAAUGGGCUGGGCCUCUCCAGGACCCAGCCUGGCCUACCAGGGGUCAGGUGACCAAAUGGCCCAGCCCAGCCUGGCCUACCAGGGGUCAGGUGACCAAAUGGCCCAAUCACGGCAGCAGCCCCACCCCCACCCUGGUGGAAUUCGCAGCUCCCACUUCUACCUCUGCAAAGCUAUGAUGAGACCUGUUUUCUCUGCCCUCUGCCUCCAGCCUGUGGGGUUCCCUGCCACCCGACAAUAAACCUUUUCCCUUA